RNAcentral lists this ribosomal RNA (466 nucleotides) under Escherichia coli 2-460-02_S3_C3. Its description in RNAcentral is "partial 23S ribosomal RNA". Lineage: Bacteria; Pseudomonadati; Pseudomonadota; Gammaproteobacteria; Enterobacterales; Enterobacteriaceae. The record is from RNAcentral.
UCCGACAUUGAAGGAUAAGACGUGUCAACAUCGCAUUCGACAUUGAAUGAACGCAGAAAAGCAAAAAGCUCGCCGAAGCGAGCUUUUUUAAUGUGGCUGGGGUACGAGGAUUCGAACCUCGGAAUGCCGGAAUCAGAAUCCGGUGCCUUACCGCUUGGCGAUACCCCAACUGGGUGCACUUACAAGGUAAGCGUCUUGAAUAAAUUGGCUGGGGUACGAGGAUUCGAACCUCGGAAUGCCGGAAUCAGAAUCCGGUGCCUUACCGCUUGGCGAUACCCCAACAAAUUGGUUUUGAAUUUGCCGAACAUAUUCGACACAUUCAGAAUUUGGUGGCUACGACGGGAUUCGAACCUGUGACCCCAUCAUUAUGAGUGAUGUGCUCUAACCAACUGAGCUACGUAGCCAGAUUGUUUCUUCGAUGGCUGGGGUACCUGGAUUCGAACCAGGGAAUGCCGGUAUCAAAAAC